RNAcentral lists this unclassified non-coding RNA (307 nucleotides) under Hevea brasiliensis (rubber tree). The record is from RNAcentral. Lineage: Eukaryota; Viridiplantae; Streptophyta; Magnoliopsida; Malpighiales; Euphorbiaceae.
UAAGCUCUCAAACACAUUCAAACCUCUCUUAAGAACACAAGGUUUGCCCUUUCACUUCUUUCUUCAAUCAAACUACUUACUGAGAUAUUAGCAAUGAUCAUCAGCUAAAACAUAUCAUAUAUACACUACUUGUAGCAAUUCUCGACUCUCCAAAAAGAUACAAAAUUCCCUCUUUUUAAGUCUGCUAUGUUUUGUGACUCUGGAGGCGACUUAGCUUCCUUCUAUGUACACUUAAUUUUUAUGAGUUCUAGGCCAUAGCAGGGAUACUGGAAUUUUGGCGAUCCCUAUUGAGGCAAUCAAAUCCUUC